GAGUGAGGUAGGGCACCAUUAACAACGAGCUCAUUAAAGUGCUUCUCAAUAUCCAACAGGUGGCCCCAUUGAUCUUGGUAAGUGAUAGUAGCCACUUUAGCUCAUGCAACACCUGUUGGAUUCAGUAUGAUGUGCUCCAUAAUAUUGAUGAGUCAAUGACCCAAUAGAGCUGGACUACUUCUUCAGCUUUUGAGCCAGUAGCUUC
This 205-nucleotide long non-coding RNA is filed under the name Elaeis guineensis (African oil palm). Its description in RNAcentral is "long non-coding RNA (EGUI_LNC007081)". The record is from RNAcentral. Lineage: Eukaryota; Viridiplantae; Streptophyta; Magnoliopsida; Arecales; Arecaceae.